This 1004-nucleotide ribosomal RNA is filed under the name Brunneofusispora sinensis. RNAcentral's name for it is "SSU rRNA". It matches the Rfam family "Eukaryotic small subunit ribosomal RNA", at positions 87 to 1099 of the family's 1831-position model. Lineage: Eukaryota; Fungi; Ascomycota; Dothideomycetes; Pleosporales; Occultibambusaceae. The record is from RNAcentral.
CUGCGAAUGGCUCAUUAAAUCAGUUAUCGUUUAUUUGAUAGUACCUUACUACUUGGAUAACCGUGGUAAUUCUAGAGCUAAUACAUGCUAAAAACCCCGACUUCGGGAGGGGUGUAUUUAUUAGAUAAAAAACCAAUGCCCUUCGGGGCUCUUUGGUGAUUCAUGAUAACUUAACGGAUCGCAUGGCCUUGCGCCGGCGACGGUUCAUUCAAAUUUCUGCCCUAUCAACUUUCGAUGGUAAGGUAUUGGCUUACCAUGGUUUCAACGGGUAACGGGGAAUUAGGGUUCGAUUCCGGAGAGGGAGCCUGAGAAACGGCUACCACAUCCAAGGAAGGCAGCAGGCGCGCAAAUUACCCAAUCCCGACACGGGGAGGUAGUGACAAUAAAUACUGAUACAGGGCUCUUUUGGGUCUUGUAAUCGGAAUGAGUACAAUUUAAACCCCUUAACGAGGAACAAUUGGAGGGCAAGUCUGGUGCCAGCAGCCGCGGUAAUUCCAGCUCCAAUAGCGUAUAUUAAAGUUGUUGCAGUUAAAAAGCUCGUAGUUGAACCUUGGGCCUGGCUGGCCGGUCCGCCUCACCGCGUGUACUGGUCCGGCCGGGCCUUUCCUUCUGGUGAGCCUCAUGCCCUUCACUGGGUGUGUUGGGGAACCAGGACUUUUACUGUGAACAAAUUAGAGUGUUCAAAGCAGGCCUUUGCUCGAAUACAUUAGCAUGGAAUAAUAGAAUAGGACGUGCGGUCCUAUUUUGUUGGUUUCUAGGACCGCCGUAAUGAUUAAUAGGGAUAGUCGGGGGCAUCAGUAUUCAAUUGUCAGAGGUGAAAUUCUUGGAUUUAUUGAAGACUAACUACUGCGAAAGCAUUUGCCAAGGAUGUUUUCAUUAAUCAGUGAACGAAAGUUAGGGGAUCGAAGACGAUCAGAUACCGUCGUAGUCUUAACCGUAAACUAUGCCGACUAGGGAUCGGGCGAUGUUUCUAUCUUGACUCGCUCGGCACCUUACGAGAAAUC